AGAAAUCUCUUUUUGAACAAAAUACCUUGUUGGGAAAUCAAGAAGUUCAAUCAACUUGUUUCUAUUCCAAUUUACUCUUAACUUUAUUUAAACUGUUCUACUUACUCAAGCAUUUAUGAAUAUCAAAGUUGUAUUAUAUAUUACAUGACCGUUCCUUCUCAGUAAUAACUAUGAUUCUAGCUAAUGUGCAUAGGUAAGCAGGCAGAAGAGCCAAGGCUUUACAUUUUCUCACCUGGUAACUUUCAUAAUUCUAUUUUUCCUUGUGACAUAUGUAGAAACCUUUAUUACAUAUGCAGUAGGCACAAUCCAGGACACAUUUAUGAAUAAUUAUCGUAUCUCAAGUGGGAAGACAAGGACCUAUGGUAACAGCUCCAUAGUUAUGAGUGAUGCUUAAGUCAAGAAAAACACCAAUCCUUAUUCUUCCCCACUAUUCGAAGGGAACCAACAAAACAAUCCUUAAAUUAUUCAUUAUCAUUACUUCCACCUGUGAUCAAUUAUCAAUGAACUAAAACAUGUCUAAGGUUUGCUCAUUCGUAUUGCCUACCAGGAUUGGUGAAAUGUACGGCAAGAACAAAGAAGGUCACUAGUCUAACAUUCUGGAAUGGGAGCUGGCAAACUUUUUUUGUAAAGGACCAAAGAGUAAAUAUUUUAGGCUUUGUGAACCAAAAGGUAAAAUUGAGGAUACCAUACUAGACUGUUGGGAGCUCUUCAGGGUAUGGACUGCCUCCUAAUCUUCGUAUCAUGAACUAAUAAAAUGGUGCUUGUCACAGAGAAAAUGAAUAAAUGCUUACUGAAGUUUAUUAAUCUGUUAA
Macaca mulatta (Rhesus monkey) is the source of this 812-nucleotide non-coding RNA. The record is from RefSeq and is a predicted model, not a curated record. NCBI's taxonomy places the organism in Eukaryota, Metazoa, Chordata, Mammalia, Primates, Cercopithecidae.